UCCGCCAGAGAACUACAAGUGAAAAGCUUGAAACUCAAAGGACUUGACGGUGUCCCAUAUCGACCUAGAGGAGCCUGUCCUAUAAUCGAUACUCCCCGUUCUACCCAACCCCAACUAGCAAAGCAUCAGCCUAUAUACCGCCGUCGACAGUUUACUCUAUGAAGACCCAAUAGUAAACAUAAUAGCCUUAACGCUAAUACGUCAGGUCAAGGUGUAGCAGAUGUUGGGGAAGAGAUUGGCUACAUUUUUUAUUAUAAAAAACACGAAUUGCACUAUGAAACACUGCAUGAAGGUGAAUUUAGUAGUAAAACAGAUAAGAGUGUCUGUUUUAACAACGCUCUGGGACGCGUACACACCGCCC
RNAcentral lists this ribosomal RNA (361 nucleotides) under Podarcis levendis. RNAcentral describes it as "partial 12S ribosomal RNA". It matches the Rfam family "Bacterial small subunit ribosomal RNA", at positions 868 to 1395 of the family's 1533-position model. Lineage: Eukaryota; Metazoa; Chordata; Lepidosauria; Squamata; Lacertidae. The record is from RNAcentral.